ACAUCGGUGACAGGUGGUGCAUGGUUGUCGUCAGCUCGUGUCGUGAGAUGUUGGUUAAGUCCCGCAACGAGCGCAACCCCUAUUGUUAGUUGCCAUCAUUCAGUUGGGCACUCUAGCGAGACUGCCGGUAAUAAACCGGAGGAAGGUGGGGAUGACGUCAAAUCAUCAUGCCCCUUAUGACCUGGGCUACACACGUGCUACAAUGGUUGGUACAACGAGUUGCGAGUCGGUGGCGGCGAGCUAAUCUCUUAAAGCCAAUCUCAGUUCGGAUUGUAGGCUGCAACUCGCCUACAUGAAGUCGGAAUCGCUAGUAAUCGCGGAUCAGCACGCCGCGGUGAAUACGUUCCCGGGCCUU
RNAcentral lists this ribosomal RNA (355 nucleotides) under uncultured Streptococcus sp. Its description in RNAcentral is "bacterial SSU rRNA". It matches the Rfam family "Bacterial small subunit ribosomal RNA", at positions 1025 to 1382 of the family's 1533-position model. The record is from RNAcentral. Lineage: Bacteria; Bacillati; Bacillota; Bacilli; Lactobacillales; Streptococcaceae.